UGGGGAAUAUUGGGCAAUGGAGGCAACUCUGACCCAGCAACGCCGCGUGAGGGAAGAAGGUUUUCGGAUUGUAAACCUCUGUCCUUGGGGACGAAGAAAGUGACGGUACCCAAGGAGGAAGCCCCGGCUAACUACGUGCCAGCAGCCGCGGUAAUACGUAGGGGGCGAGCGUUGUCCGGAGUUACUGGGCGUAAAGGGUGCGUAGGCGGUUUUUUAAGUCAGAUGUGAAAUCCCCGGGCUUAACUCGGGUGGUGCAUUUGAAACUGGGAGACUAGAGUGCAGGAGAGGGAAGCGGAAUUCCUAGUGUAGCGGUGAAAUGCGUAGAUAUUAGGAGGAACACCAGUGGCGAAGGCGGCUUUCUGGACUGUAACUGACGCUGAGGCACGAAAGCGUGGGGAGCAAACAG
This 406-nucleotide ribosomal RNA is filed under the name uncultured bacterium. Its description in RNAcentral is "bacterial SSU rRNA". It matches the Rfam family "Bacterial small subunit ribosomal RNA", at positions 355 to 775 of the family's 1533-position model. The record is from RNAcentral.